This 312-nucleotide small nuclear RNA is filed under the name Tinamus guttatus (white-throated tinamou). Its description in RNAcentral is "7SK RNA". It matches the Rfam family "7SK RNA", at positions 42 to 278 of the family's 331-position model. From Rfam's summary of the family: 7SK was discovered as an abundant small nuclear RNA in the mid-70s but a possible function has only recently been suggested. Two independent studies have found that 7SK RNA binds the CDK9/cyclin T complex (known as elongation factor P-TEFb). P-TEFb activates transcription by phosphorylating the C-terminal domain of RNA polymerase II. Lineage: Eukaryota; Metazoa; Chordata; Aves; Tinamiformes; Tinamidae. The record is from Rfam by way of RNAcentral.
CAAAGUAAAGGUGAAGGGAAACUGUAUAAUUUUGAAGGAGACCCAACUGCAUGUGUGACUAGGACGAAGGUGUCCCCGUCCUCCCUUACCACUCCAUGUGCAUUCCUUCUGAAGCGGUGCACUUGGUCAAAGAGGAUGACCUUCCCCGACAGAGAAGUACCGUUCAUUGGUCGAGGGUAUAUGGUAGCUGUGCUCCCCUGCUAGAAUCUCCAAACCUUGCAUAUUCAGUAUCAGCUCUGUUGUAUCCAGGAAUCCAGUCACUUUUCAGACAGCUCACACUGAAGGAGAGCACGUUGGAUAGUCAAGAUAUAU